This is a long non-coding RNA of Physeter macrocephalus (sperm whale), 8045 nucleotides long. RefSeq lists it as uncharacterized. The record is from RefSeq and is a predicted model, not a curated record. NCBI's taxonomy places the organism in Eukaryota, Metazoa, Chordata, Mammalia, Artiodactyla, Physeteridae. The transcript has 3 exons.
GGGAGCAGGGGGCAGGCCAGGCGGUGAACAGGAGGGAGUCUGAAAGUUUUCAGAGAUGAGACAUUUGCGUUUCUCAGCUCCCAUGGCUUCUCGCCUGAAACUGUUUCCCUCCGUAGGAGAUUUGAGUAACCGAUCCCUUGACAAACAACUUAAGACAGCUGGAGCUCUAAUCAUCAAGAAUUUUUAUGGUGCUGCUUUUGAAGUAAAAAUAAAGUGAAACCCCUUAUGGCAUUUCAAGUGGAAAAAUAAAUAAGGUUGGCCGUCCACGCAGGGGGCUCCGGCGACGGCUGGAAGUGCGGGAGUGGCGUGGUUCUGUGCCGUCAAUGUGCACGUGCUCCCAUGGCCGUGACCUUUGAGACAAAGCUGGGUGGCUUGCCAGGGCCCUGUGCUGGGUGUCCACCUCUCCAUCUCUUCUCCUUCUAGAAAACAUAACAGGAGCACUGCCUGUCCAAGGCACAGGGCUGUUGUGAGAGUUUAUUGUUGUAAAAGGGCUUGGGUUGUUUCAUAAAAGGUCAUCUGUUAUACCUAGAUUGGUAAUUUAUUGCUAUGAAGUUUUGUGUAGUUUUCUCCUGCCCUUUGCAAUCUCCCCAUUGUCAGUGUAUUCCUUUUUUCAUUCCUACCAUCGCCUAUCAGUGCUUUUCCUUUUCUUCGUCAAAACUUGCCAAAGGUUUGUUCAUUUUAGAGGUAUUUUCAGAGAACCAAACUUAUUGAUUAUACCUGCUGGGUAUUUUUCCUAUCUGAUGCUUUUGUGUUUUUACUUCUGCAUUCUUUUUUUUCUGCGUUUCUGGGUGUAUUUUGUGGUUCAGCAAAGUCUUGACAAGUUGAGGAUGGUUUGUUCAGCAAACAUUGAGCCCCUGUACUGGGCUUGCUAGGGAUUUCAGGGGCAAGACCCAGGCCUGACUCUCCAGGAGCGCAUGACUCUAGCCUAGUGGGAAGACUUAAGAAAAUAGACAACUGCAAAUUCCAAAAACAAAACAAACAAACAAGGCUUUUGUGGCCACGCUCUCCCGUGGAGGCACCUGGAUGAUGAAUGAAGCCAAGAGUUUUGCUUACUUUGCUCUCCCUCAGAAAGCAGCUUUCUGUCAUAGGUCAAGCUCACUAAAGAGUCACAAACAGGCCUCCCUCUGAAAGAUUUGUGGCCCCUUUCCAGCAGGGAGCCUGCAGCCCACCCUUUCCCAAGGUGAUGCCACAUCAGCAUUCUGUCUGCCCAGCACUGCUUUCCACCUGCCAAGGCAGCACCAGCAGCACCCUGCCCCCUCUUCCUGAAAUGCCUUUCAGGAAAAUGAGAAGUGGAUAUCUAUUCUGGAAAAGAGCAGGGUACCAGGUCUUAGAAAACCACACCCUGCAAUUCUGCCAGUCGCCGUGGCUGCUAGUGUGAAAUGGUUGCUCAUGUGGUGGUACCUGGUAACCACAAGAUCCCAUGAGGCCUAGGUCUGGGCUUCUUUAGGAACUGGUCUGUGCCCUGCUCUGCGCCUCAGUUUCCUUGUAGGUAAGAUGUGGGCUUUGGAGCAAACACAGUCUUCCUACCCCUAAUAUACUGGGACUCCUUUCUCCGAGGAUCUUCGGGUCCUCCUGGAUGCAUUUGAGGAAGGUGAUUGAACUCUGGGAAGGUGGCACUGCAUAUGCAGCAGUGCAUAUGCUUUAUGCUUUAAUGAUUGUACCACAUGAGCCUAGAUAUGCCUCUGUCAGGAAGCCUUCCUGGACGCUUCCCUCUCCCUAGAGAUCCAGUUGCCUAGAUGACUUCACUCAGCCCUCUGUUGAGUGUUAGUGCUAGUGGUCAUGCAGACUUUCUCUUCCGCAGUGAUUGGGCUCCCCCCACCUCCCUAGGGGGCUUGCAUUGUUAUUUAAUCUGAGGUACUUGUCAGAAUCCUGUACGGGACCAGGCCUUGGGGUCACACAGUGGACAAGGUGGACCAUCUCUGCCAUCAGGGAGUCAUCCAAGCUAAUGGGAAAGGGGAUGACCUUGGGCAGAUAAUCCCACAGAUAGAUAUAAUAUGGACCGUGGCAGGUGCCCUAAGAGGAGUCUAGGGGGGGACCUAGUGUGGGCUGGGGAGGAUUGAUGUUCAGGCUGAGACCUGAGGACAAGUGUAAAUGUCGGAGCAGUGAAAUAACAAAUGAGAUGUUAUUUCUCACCAUCUAAUCAAGCAUCUCUGCUUACAGCUGAAGAGACUGGGCUGAAAGCAAAAUGAAGGACCCCCAGUAUCUGGCUGCCCUGGAGGGCUGUAUUGGGAGAUAGUGAGGGGGUUGAAGGUUGACGUGUUGGUGGCGGGCCCCCAAACUCAGCCCUGAGUGAGAAGUCUUCAGUUUCCAACUGACUGGAACCAUCACAGACAAGGAUCUGAUGGGAGUAGGGGGUGACCCAAUCAGAGCAGCAGCUAAUUUAAGGCGGGAUGAUUUUCAGAGGGACAGGAUAGCCUUUGAGCAGUAACAGCAGCAGGACUGUCAAGAAGGCCACUGCCCCGCCUGGAUCACUGGGGAAGGCGAGAAGUAGACCCAAGGAGCCACGGUGGGUGAGGAGAGGAGGCAGGAGAAGGAGCAGGCUGGGGAGGGGGACAGAGAAAGAUGAGAGACUCCCGUUGAAUAGCUGUCGGAAGUGAGGUCACGGAAGUGAGGUCACUGAGGGGUCAUCCCUUGUGCUCAGCUGGCGGCCGGGGCCAGAACCCAGUCUCCUGGCGUCUAUUGCAAAGCUCACCCCUCAUCCCCCAGCCCCCUAAAGGGAGAAAGGGUCACUGCUCUGAAAAGAGGGAGGAACUAAGCAGCGCUCUCCUCAGCAAGCCAGGGAAGGUGAUCCUGACUAAAAGCCAGAAGAGGGGCAGAGUUUGGUCUGCCAGGCUUCAGGGAGAGAAUUCCAUACCGCGAGAAAAACUUUGAUUAUAGAGCGGGCUCGAGAUGAAGGGGAGGAGCUGGCUGAGCAGCAGCUGGAGGCUUCAGACAGAAGCCCUGGGUCUCCCUCUCGAGACUCAGUGGGCGUGGACUCGGGGAACAGUUUUAGGACCGACAAACCUUGAGCGAUGAGGUUUCGGGGAGCCCGGGCCCUAUACCCCCGCCUCUUUGACCACUCGUCCCUGAGCCUCAGUUUCCUCACUGGCAAAACAGAGAUGGUAACACCCCCUGUAGCCUGGCUCAAGGCCAAGUCUUCACAAAUGUUACUGCCUCUCUUCUGUACCCUACCACCCUCCACCGACCCUUAUUGGGCUCAGGCUUCGUAGGGAUGCGGUCUGAUCAUCCAGCUCUCCCACUCAUUCAUUCCUGCAGGGAGCAUCGCCAGGCCCUGUGCCCAGCCCAGAACCUGAUAAGACCGUGCCCUCCGUGAGGAGCUCCUGCAGCAGCGGGGAGGGCAUCGAGGCAGUCCUGCAGGCGCAUGAUUACCGUGCUGUGUCAUCGGGGCUGUGUGGAGUUAGGGAGAGACCUCAUUUGUGAGGCCGUAUGUCAGCACCUCAACAUGAAUUCCCUUAAUUAUUUUUUACAAGCCCCGAAAUGACAAGAUCCUAAAAGGGAGAGGAACACCUAGACGGUGCUCUUUCCUGAGAGGCCAGAACCCUGGCUUUGCAUCCCUGCUUGGCCACCAGCUCGCCUAGGACCGUCCAUGGAUUUUUCCCUCUUGGAAAGAAAUCACUGCCUGUUCGGCCUCCUCCUCAUGAGGAACUGGUGCGGGAAUGUUUGAGAGUGAGUGCCCCGUCAGAUACGGGGUAAGCACGAACCUUCUCCACAGAAUAACCCUUUGAGCGGUUCUGGCCUCUCAUCUCUUUUCCUGGACAACUUGUGGAGAGUCUACAGGGGGACGCCUCACCGCCUCUUCCGAAGCUACACUCUGCCAAUCCCCGCCCCACACUGCUAGUGGCCGCCCUCUAGGGCAGGGCGGGGAGCUGAGGCCCUGGGCCUGAUCCCCACCCACUUGCCAUGUGACCUUGCUCUCCUCUGCUCAUUCUUCUCCAGGCACCGCCCCCCGACGCCCGCCCCGUUUCCCCAUCUGUUCACCUAGGAGGGGCUGGCCCAGGAAGUCUUUAACGUUUCCAAAGCCAUCUCCUGUGAAGUAUCAGUGAACUUUAUCCUUGUUGCUUCAGUCUUAAAGGUAUUGGUUGAAAGAAAGUAUGUUAAAACAAGCAUUUAAUCAAAGGGAUUUUUGCAUUAAAGAAUAAACUUUACAUCUCUGGGGUGCAGAAGUGUCAAGAAUCUUGGAGUCAAAGCAGACUUGGGAGGGUCUCUGAGGGAGGAAGACAAACAUGACCCUUCCUUGGUUCCCUGUUGCUUGUGGUCCUGACUCAGCUUGGCUGUCAAAGCCCUGCACCACCCUUGAGGGUGGGGGCUUGAUCUUUGUCCCUUGACCAGGCGCAGUACCUGGUGCCGUCCUUGACCAGGCCUGGCAUAGAACCUGCUGGUUGGCUGGCCAGGAACGUGGAUGGCUGGAAGGCUCAGUCAGUCAAUCUCUAGACUCCCUAAGGAGUUAAGUGACCCUCACUCUCCUAGAAGUGAGGGAAUUCAGUUUGCCUCCCAAGUCUCCUCUUGGCAACUCUGAAGUGGCAGUAUUUUCCAGCCUCUAGGUUCAUGUUUUACACACACAUAUCACAGACACUGAUGUGUCACAAAAGAUACGUGAGAAGAACCUUGUAAAAGGCUCUAUAGCCUGGUAUCCUUCCUGUGGCAACAGGUGGCUGUGAAUCACCUCCCCUCCCUGGGCCUCAGUUUCCCCAUGUGUAAAAUGAAGCACUUGGACUAGAUAAUCCUUGAGUUCCUUUCUAGCUCUAGCAUCACCCUCAGAUGCCCUGGUACCCAGAACAGUAAUUGGACAAGGGGCAUGGUGACCCCAGGAUCUGGGUCAGUCCACAUCUUGGAGCAUGGCGGAAUCGUGGUGAUGGCCGCAGCCCCCUGGAAACUGAACGUGGCAGGAACUGGCUGAGAGAUUUUUUUGCUGAUGGUGAAAUGUCCUGGCAGAGUCUACGCAGACCCUGAGGGGUUCCUCCCCUCCACCCCCUAUAAUGAAGAAUGCUGCCGGUAACAUCUUGGCACCUGCCUGCUCCAGAAAUGUUUCUAUAGGGUAGGUACUGAGAGUGGAACUCUGGUCUCUAUGGUGUCCACUGUUUUAUUUUCAAUAAACACAACCCAGGUUGUCUUCUGAAGUUGCAGUGCCAGUUUAAGCUCCUUCCACAAGUAAAUGUACAUCUUUCUUUUUCCAGACCAUUGCCAGCUUUUAAAGGUUAUGGAUCUGAUGGAUGAAAGAAAGUGGUUUCUUCCUGAUUUCAUUUGUGUUUUCCUGGUCACGCUGUGGUCUCCUCCUGGGUAUCCUGGCCAUUUAUAUUUCUUCUCAUUGGGAUCAUCUGUGCAUCUCCUUUGUCCAUCUUUCUUCUGUGUUGUUUUUUUCUUAUUGAUUUAUGGGAUUUCUUUAUGUAUUUUUUAUAUUAAUUCCCUGUCUACUCUGCAUUGCACAUAAUUCUCUACCAUUCUGACCCUUGUCAUUUUAGCUGUGUUGUAUCUUUCAUCACAGAACUUUUCAUUUCUUUGUCAAAUUUAGAAUCUUAUCUUGCCUUAAGAAGGCCCUCCUGGGGACUUCCCUGCUGAUCCAGUGGUUAAGUCUCCACGCUCCCAAUGCAGGGGGCCUGGGUUAGAUCCCUGGUUAGGGAGCUAGAUCCCACAUGCAUGCCACAACUAAGAGCCCGCAUGCCGCAACUAAGAGUCCGCAUGCCACAGCUAAAGAUCCCAUGUGCCGCAACGAAGACCCAAUGCAGCCAAAUAAAUAAAAUAAAUAUUUUUUUUAAAAAAGAAGUCCCUCCCUGUACUAAGAUCACAACCAUUUUUCCUGUAUUUUUUCUAAAGCUUUCGUAGUUUUCUUUCUUGCAUAUUUAUUUUAUAUUAUUUUACUAUUUUCACAUUUAAGUCUUUACUGCAUAUGAAGCUAAUUUUAAGUAUGAUAUCAGUGCUUUAUUUUAAUAAAUUUCAAAACUGAUAACCAAUUUUUUCAAUACCAUUUAUUGGAUAAUCUGUCAUUUCUUCAGUAAUUUAAAAUUGCUGCCUCUGCCUGACACUAAAUUCCAAUGCGGGUCUAUGUCAGGGCUCUUUCUGGUCCACUGAUCUAUUUGUCUACUCCUGAGCGUGAUAAUAUGCUUUGCUAACUGGCAGGACAAAUCCCACCCUCUUUGUUGUUUUUGUAAAAUUGCCUUGAUCAUCCUUGCAUAUUUGUCCCACCACAUGAAUUUUAAAAUAGCCUGUCAAGUUUCAGGAAAAAUUCUGCUGGGAUUUUAAUUGGGAUCACAUUGAGUUUUAGGUAAGUUUGAAGAAAAUUGGCCCCUUUAUCAUAUUUGAGUCUUCUGCCAAUGCUCGUUGCUAUUAUCUCUCAGUUCCGGUCACUCUCAUGUCUUUCAGGGAAGUUUUAUGGUUUUCUCUACAGUCUUGCCUAUUUCUUGAUAAAUUUAAUCCUAGGUUUAUUACAGGUUUUGUUGUCAGCUGUGAAUAGGGUCUCCUCUGCCUUUAUCUGUUUGGCCCUUGUUUUUCCAUAUUUCAUUUCAACCUGUUUACCAACCAGUGGGCUUGACUUGCAGACACACACGCAAAGUGAACAUUCUUCCUCCGGGGGCACAAAUAUGCAAGCACCACCAAACACACAGAGCCGGCAUAAUUGGCCGAAAACAAAUUAGAAUCUUUUCAGAUUAUACUUUAAUUAACGAAGUAAAGCAUGAAUACAUUUUCCUUUUGAAAGUAGGACAAUAUGAAUGUAAGUAAAGUUUCCUUUGGCCACCCUCUGAAAUCCUAGUUUCCCUCCCUCCCCCGCAGUUUUAUGAGUCUCCUUCCAUAGAAAUGUAAGUAUCGAUGGAGGUAUUUUGAAUGAAUCAUCCCACUCUAUAGAGAUUUUACUGUAAGCUGUGUUUUUUCACUCCAUCUUAUAUUUCUAAGAUAUACUGAUACAGAGAGCUCUUGCCAGUUCCUUUUAGUAGCUGUGUUAUAUUCAUUCCCAUGAAUGUGCUACAUUUUUCCUUCCUAAGAUCCAUGGACAUUUAGUUGCAUCCUUUUCUUUCCUCCAUCAUAAGCAGCGCCACAGAAAACAGUCUUACACGUGCCUCUUCUGUAAUGUUUCUCUAGGGUAGUGAUUGAGAAGUGGAAUUUGUGUUCUCAGGGUUUCCACAUUUUUAGUUUUAGACGUUACCAAAGUGUCCUCCAUAAUUUCUGUACCAUUUAAACUUCUAGCCAGAGGGUAUGGGAGGACUCCCCACACCAUAAGCGAUUGUUUUAAAUGUUUGCCAAUUUGCUGGGUGAAAAAUUGAAUCAUUUUUUAAAGUUUAUACAUACCUGUUUGCUAGUGAGAUUUUCAUAUGUGUUUUAGGCAUUUGUAUUUUCUCUUUUCUGAAUGAUCUGUUUAUUUUUGCUCAUUUAAAAAAUUAGGUUGUUUGUCUUUAUCUUAUUGAUUUUUGAGUUUCCUAAUAUAAUCUGGAUAUUAAUCUUUUGUGUGUGUGUGUGUAUAUGUGUGUAUAUAUAUAUAUAUAUAUAUAUAUAUAUAUAUAUAUAUAUAUAUGGCAAAUGUUUUCUUUCAGCUUGUCUGUUGCCUUCAAAUUUCGUAGGGGCUUUUGUUAGACAGAAGUUAUCAAUUUUGACAUAAUCAAAUUUAUCCAUCUUUUCCUUUAUUCCUUGUAUUUAUAUUAUGUUUAGGCCUUUCUUACUCCUAAGGUUUAAGUAUACUCUGUAUUCCUUUCUAGUAAUUUUGUUUUUAUUUGGGUCUUUAAUGCAGCUGGAAUGUAUGUUUAUGAUUGAAAUGAGAUAUGAUCUAACCUUUCUGCAAACACACAGCUGAUUACUGCAACAUGACGGACUGUCUAGUUCCUUCUCUCUCCACUGAUCUGAAGUGAAACUCCCUCAUAUACUGAAUUGCCAUGUCUAGGUGCUGUUGGGUGAAAACGUGAUACUUGGAGCUCUGACAGCCAUCUUGUGACCAGGAGGGGAAGGCCAGGAGAUGCAACUCUGUGCUGACUCGGUUCGGACACCUGGCACCACUGACUUCUGGACUUUCUUUGAAAUAAAUAAAAUGGUCUUACUGUUUAAGCCACUCUCGGGUUUUUUGU